GGAAUAUUGGACAAUGGGGGAAACCCUGAUCCAGCAAUCCCGCGUGAGUGAUGAAGGCCUUCGGGUCGUAAAGCUCUUUCAGUAGGGAAGAAUAACUGACGGUACCUACAGAAGAAGCACCGGCUAACUCCGUGCCAGCAGCCGCGGUAAUACGGAGGGUGCAAGCGUUGUUCGGAAUCAUUGGGCGUAAAGCGCGUGUAGGCGGCCAUUUAAGUCUGGUGUGAAAGCCCGGGGCCUAACCCCGGAGGUGCACUGGAUACUGGGUGGCUAGAGGACGUGAGGGGAAAGCGGAAUUCCUGGUGUAGGGGUGAAAUCCGUAGAUAUCAGGAGGAACACCGGAGGCGAAGGCGGCUUUCUGGCACGUUACUGACGCUGAGACGCGAAAGCGUGGGGAGCAAA
RNAcentral lists this ribosomal RNA (399 nucleotides) under uncultured bacterium. RNAcentral's name for it is "bacterial SSU rRNA". It matches the Rfam family "Bacterial small subunit ribosomal RNA", at positions 358 to 772 of the family's 1533-position model. The record is from RNAcentral.